ACAACGGAGAGUUUGAUUCUGGCUCAGAACGAACGCUGGCGGCGUGGAUAAGACAUGCAAGUCGAGCGGGGACCAGUGGGUAGCAAUAUUCGCUGGUUCUAGCGGCGAACGGGUGCGUAACACGUGGGCAAUCUGCCCUGAAGACUGGGAUAACUGUGCGAAAGCGUGGCUAAUACCGGAUGUGGAGGCCGGAGGGCAUCCUUCGGACUCCAAAGCUGGGGUUCCUUCGGGAACCUGGUGCUUCAGGAUGAGCCCGCGGCCUAUCAGCUUGUUGGCGGGGUAACGGCCCACCA
This 293-nucleotide ribosomal RNA is filed under the name Sedimentisphaerales bacterium. RNAcentral describes it as "partial 16S ribosomal RNA". It matches the Rfam family "Bacterial small subunit ribosomal RNA", at positions 1 to 270 of the family's 1533-position model. Lineage: Bacteria; Pseudomonadati; Planctomycetota; Phycisphaerae; Sedimentisphaerales. The record is from RNAcentral.